CUAUUAUUUAUUUUCAAUACCUUUUCUAUUAGUUCCUAAACUUGUCUGGUACAGUCACUGGUAAAAUUGUUGCCAUGAAAAGUAUAGCAGCAUACAGAAGUGGCUUGGACAUUAAUACAAAUGUCAGUAAGAAGGCUGACGAAGAAGGUUUGCUUGAAGAUUUACAUGCUGGGAAGCAUAUGUAAUGCACCAAAGUUAGUUUUUGUUGUUCUGUGUACUAUGGUUAAUUUCUUGUACUCCAUGUUGGAUUAUCCAAAGACUAGUAAUUUGUUUUUUGUUACA
This is a long non-coding RNA of Asparagus officinalis (garden asparagus), 282 nucleotides long. RefSeq lists it as uncharacterized. NCBI's taxonomy places the organism in Eukaryota, Viridiplantae, Streptophyta, Magnoliopsida, Asparagales, Asparagaceae. The record is from RefSeq and is a predicted model, not a curated record. The transcript is spliced from 2 exons.